This is a non-coding RNA of Oryctolagus cuniculus (rabbit), 1407 nucleotides long. NCBI's taxonomy places the organism in Eukaryota, Metazoa, Chordata, Mammalia, Lagomorpha, Leporidae. The record is from RefSeq and is a predicted model, not a curated record.
CAGGGAUGGAACCCGCCCUCCACUCCAACGCCAGCACUCCUGGAACUCCCCCGACCCUGGAGCUGUGUCUCUUAAGUGGAGCCGACACACGGCUCUCAUCGGCGCAGUCCGCAGCGCCCGUGUCCCGCAGAAUCGGAGGUGCCAGGGGCAAAUGCAGGCGGUCCAGACAGGUGGAGGCCAGCUUAGAGCUGGGAAGCGAAGAGAGAGCCACCAGACUCAGAUAUGGAGAAAGGGACACAGGAACCCACUGAGGUUCACACAGGGUUUGACUGGGCAGAGAAACACACCAACAGUCUGACACCCAGAGGGUAAGGAUGACAAGAGGGAAUCUCCAAAGUGGGCAGUUCCUUCGGGAAACCCUUCCUGGCCACAAGCCGGCACCCUGGGCUGCCCAGCCCUACCCUGACCUCUCUGGGCACCCUCUGGCCUAGCUUCUGCCACUGGACCACGGGUGUUUCCGUUGCUGUUCUGUCCAUCUCGUCCAGACCCUCAGCGCUUGUGGAAGAGAAAGCCCAGAAUGCGGUGAGCUCCAGAAAGGCCGAGCCUGGCCUGCCCUGCCUCGGCGCUGAGGACAGGGGCUGCAGGCAGCUCCGCCUGGCUGCGCUCUUGUCAGAGCCCCACUCCACCUCUGGAAUGGUCAUCAGCAUGGACUUCAGAGGCUGCAAGAUGGACCUGCACACAGGAGGGGCUCAAAAGUGACCACGUGCUUGGGACUGCCUGGCCCCAGCCCCAGGCCUCCUUGCCUGGAGACUGGCUUCUCUCCUGUAUCACGCCUCUCAGCGUUCCCGCUCUGGCUGCUGUCUGUGUGGGUGAACUUCUAGGCUCCCACCAUCCUCAGGUGGGGUGCCGAGCCUGCUCUGCACAGCAGUCCCAAGCCUCGCCAGGGAUGGAAAGGAACAUAAAUUUAUUGAAACUGCUUUGGGGUGAGUAGGUGGACAGUUGGGGGUUUUCCAAAGAGAAUUGUGGGAGAAGCCAGGGCCCAGCAGGUGGGAGCGGGUGCCCAGCCCCAGACCCUAUCUCAGGCCCAGUUUCUUCUUUUCCUUUUGCUUCUUACGGACCACGUCCAGGUUCCGGUCCUUCCACAUGCUCUUGCGAAGCUUGAUGGGGCGCGAGCCCACGUACUUCCCUGUGGAAUGCAGGGUUCAAGGUCAGGAGGGGGCGAGGCUUGGGCCAGAUGCCUGCCAUGCCUGUAACCCCUAGGGGAGGCCUCACCCACCAUUCAUCUCACGCAUGGCGCGCACGUAGUCGCUGGGGUCCUUGAAGCUGACAAAGCCGUAGCCCUUGGUCUUGCCUGUGCGCUUAUCACGGAUCACCUUAGCCUUAAGGAAGGACGGGAAGCGGCUGAAGGCGCGUGCCAGGAUGUCAUCAUUUACCUCAUUGCCCAGGUCCCCACAGAAGAUCCGGAAG